UACGGGGGGAGCAAGCGUUGUUCGGAUUUACUGGGCGUAAAGCGCGCGUAGGCGGCUUUGUAAGUUAGAGGUGAAAGCCCGGGGCUCAACCCCGGAAUUGCCUUUAAGACUGCAUCGCUAGAAUCCAGGAGAGGUGAGUGGAAUUCCGAGUGUAGAGGUGAAAUUCGUAGAUAUUCGGAAGAACACCAGUGGCGAAGGCGGCUCACUGGACUGGUAUUGACGCUGAGGUGCGAAAGCGUGGGGAGCAAACAGG
This 253-nucleotide ribosomal RNA is filed under the name uncultured bacterium. RNAcentral's name for it is "partial 16S ribosomal RNA". It matches the Rfam family "Bacterial small subunit ribosomal RNA", at positions 524 to 776 of the family's 1533-position model. The record is from RNAcentral.